This 940-nucleotide long non-coding RNA is filed under the name Mus caroli (Ryukyu mouse). RNAcentral describes it as "predicted gene 43342 (MGP_CAROLIEiJ_G0006174.1)". The record is from RNAcentral. Lineage: Eukaryota; Metazoa; Chordata; Mammalia; Rodentia; Muridae.
AACAGUAGAUAGGAUAAAGGAGAGAGGAUAAGGAAAAGACUUAUCCCUUACAACAGUGUGGGGAAUUUGGUGACACAUAACUUAGGGUCCAGUACAAACCCUGUCCCUUACCAGCCUCAGUUACCCAGUCUGGAAAAUGGAAACAGUGUUCACUCUGCUCUGUGUUCAGUAUGGAAAUGGAAAGAAACGGCUGUGCUAGGACCAGUCGUGCAGAGACUCCUUAUUCUUUGUUCCGGACCACAGAGGCUCGAAGCCAUGAAGUCUUCCACUGUGGUUUCAGGACUGUCAUAAAUGUCAAUCUUGGGGCAUUUUCAGAGCCCUUCAUUUUUCUGGCUACUGUAAGAAAACGCUGGACAGAAAGAAGCAACUCGGUCUGAAAAGAUCAGAGCUCUGGGAGGGGAUCAACAGCUUGACUGACAUAAAGGUUUCAGAGAGGUGUGAUACAUUGGCGCUGGAAGAUUCUGAUGAUUCUGCCUCCUUGUACAAAUUUAUUUUUCCACAAGCAGUAUGUGAGGGUGCUCUGUCCCCACCCUCUGUGUGAGCCCUGAGCGUCGGGUGGAGUCCUUCUUACCUUUGAGGGGAAGAAACAGUUUCCCUGUGAGAUUCUCCACUCUCUAUGUGAUUCUCCACUCCCUGUGUGAUUCUCUACUCCCGAUGUGAUUCUCUUCCUCCUGUUCCUUUCAGCUUUCAUAGUAUUUCUUUGGAGAAUUUAAAAAAAUAUAUGUAUUUUUGGAGUAUAUAACUGAUUUGUAGGAGUUCAUUUUAAUUCAUUAUAAUCAUACCCAUGAUGCAAUUAAAGUUUAUUUAUAAUGUAUACAAUUACAGUAUAUGAUAGCUACAAUGAAGUCAUAGUUAUAAUUAACAAUUAUAUUUAUAUAAAAUUAAUAAUUAUAUACUAAAUAUUAGAUAAUUAAUGAUUGUGAACUAAAUCGUUGCUCUC